Molecule: ribosomal RNA, 253 nt
Filed under: uncultured bacterium
Lineage: Bacteria
Description: partial 16S ribosomal RNA
Rfam family: Bacterial small subunit ribosomal RNA
Source: RNAcentral
UACAGAGGUCUCAAGCGUUGUUCGGAUUCAUUGGGCGUAAAGGGUGCGUAGGCGGUGGGGCAAGUCAGGUGUGAAAUCCCGGAGCUCAACUCCGGAACUGCACUUGAUACUGCCUUGCUAGAGUACUGGAGAGGAGACUGGAAUUUACGGUGUAGCAGUGAAAUGCGUAGAUAUCGUAAGGAAGACCAGUGGCGAAGGCGAGUCUCUGGACAGUUACUGACGCUGAGGCACGAAGGCCAGGGGAGCAAACGGG